AGGGUGAAGUAAGACCAAGCUCAUGAGCUUAUUAUCCUAGGUCUGCUAUGCCAUCUUAAGGUGCUACUACUAAAUGGAAGGAUCUUAUCAACGUCCAUGAAUGCGAAAUCAUAGAUCGAACUGACGAAUUGGCAAAAUUCGGUGCUAUCAUAGUAUCCGCUAAGUUCACGGGCUGGAGAUAAGCAGACUCGAACCGCUGACAUCCGCCACAGGGUAAACCACCGCCUCUCAGGCCUCCCCGACGGGUUCUACCAUAGAGGACAACGAUAGACAAUAACUUCGCAUUCUCAGGGCCAUAGAAUGAAAGUUAUUAGGUUUUGAAGUUCUACUUUCAUUUAGAAUUUAAGCAUUAUUUUUCCCCUUGCUUCCGAAAAAAUAGUCAAGAAACACUAAUGGCAACCCUUCGAGUCUCCUCUCAUCACCAACUCUAUCCGUCCUGGCAAAGCGGCGAACCUUGAUCUCAGCUUGCCUAAUGAAGAAAG
Molecule: long non-coding RNA, 482 nt
Filed under: Setaria viridis
Lineage: Eukaryota; Viridiplantae; Streptophyta; Magnoliopsida; Poales; Poaceae
Description: long non-coding RNA (SVIR_LNC010988)
Source: RNAcentral